Molecule: ribosomal RNA, 468 nt
Filed under: uncultured bacterium
Lineage: Bacteria
Description: partial 16S ribosomal RNA
Rfam family: Bacterial small subunit ribosomal RNA
Source: RNAcentral
GAUGAACGCUGGCGGCGUGCUUAACACAUGCAAGUCGAACGGAAAGGCACUGCUUUUGUGGGGUGCUCGAGUGGCGAACGGGUGUGUAAAACGCGAGUAACAUGUCCUUGACUUUGGGGUAAAUCCUGGGAACAGGGGCUCAAACACGAUAGGAGAUCUUGAUGCACGGUGGGGGUUGGAAAGUUUUGGCGGUUGGGGCUGGACUAGCGGCUUAUCCGCUGGUUGGUGGGGUAGUGGCUUACCAAGCCUUUGACGGGUAGCCGGCCUGAGAGGGUGACCGGGCACAUGGGGACUGAGAGACGGCGCAGACGCCAACGGGAGGCAGCAGUGGGGAAUAUGGCACAAUGGGCGGACGCCUGAUGCGGCAACGCCGCGUGCGUGAUGACGGCCUUCGGGGUGUGAACCGCUGUCUCCUGUGACGAAGCGUGAUUGACGGUAAUGGGUAAAGAAGCACCGGCUAACUACGUG